Molecule: non-coding RNA, 1924 nt
Organism: Heterocephalus glaber (naked mole-rat)
Lineage: Eukaryota; Metazoa; Chordata; Mammalia; Rodentia; Bathyergidae
Source: RefSeq, a predicted model, not a curated record
GGUCCGCGCGCGUCUGCCUCCCCGCGCCGUCGACGCGUCGGCCCCACCCCGCGCAUGUGCAUGCUCGCCGCGGGAGGCAUGCUGGGAGUUGUAGUCCGCGUGGGAGGCGGCCCGGCCCGGUACGGGUCUGUGCUGCCAGCGGCCGGCUUGGCGGGAGAAAUUGCUUUCCGUUGGGGAGCACCGGCCGUCGAGCCUCCGGGAGCACAGCGCCAGGCUCUCUGGUAACAGAAUCCCUUUUGACUUUGACCAUUUGUCAAGAAGCGCACACGACAGGGCCGGUUUUGUACUCUCGGUUAAAACUGCGAGGACGUGACAUCAGCCCUGUGAACUUGUGAAGGACCGAUGCGAAAGCGAGCAAAACAAAUACAAGUGACGCACGCACGAACCGGCCCGUGCCAGGCCCAAGCUUCCCUGGGCCUGCAAGCCCCUCCCGCGCCUACACCAGGACCAGGCAGGCCCCUGGAGCAAGGCCUGGCUUCGAUACACCUUUCAGAAAUGCAGCGAGAAAGAGGACUGAAGAGCCUGCUUGAGGUGCAUUCCAGCUAUGCCUGAGUGACACUGCUGACUGAGAAGAUUUUAGAAUAACUUUCUGAACACACAAACACCAAGCAGGCCAAAGUUCAAGGACGAUGGAAGUAAUAUUGAAGUAGGCAUUCCAGGAGCUGCAGCUCAAAGCCAAGGCAAGUAGCAGAUUUUUGGCCAAAUCCCAAGACUUUCUCUAAUGUCACUUAAGGUAAAGAUAGCUUUUAGGCAGGAACACUUUACGUAUAUUCACAUGAAGGUUUCAGUCAACUAAAACACGAGUCUUAUCCACUCAGAUGGCAAUUAAGUAAUAUUUUUCCAUCCAAUCUUGUAGUUGAUUUGUUUGGAUUAAAGAGAAAAUGAUGGCACUGGGGUAAAGCUCAGUGAUACAGUCCUUACCUAGCAUGUUUAAGGCUCUGGGUUUGUUCCCUAGAACUGAAGAGAGAGAGAGAGGGAGGGAGGAGGGAGAGAGAAUGGUAUUAUAACUUCUGUUAAAUUUUAUAUGAUUAGAUAUAGGCAGGCUUAGACUUUAACAAGCCCACAUUUUUUAACCUGUCAAAGUAUUUCUUGUCCCUCCCUGAUAAUCAAUGAGCUAUCCACAGCCCAUACAAACAGCUGAUACAUGUCUAAUGAGUCUGUCAAGGAAUGAGUCCCACCAUGGCUACCUAGCAUUUGGGGUUGAAAUUAUUCCAUUCAUCAGCAUUUACUUAUAACCAAGUCAAAAAAGGCUGUUUACGCCAGUCAUCGAACUGUUGGCUGCACUCUCAUGGAGUCCACAUUUUUCAAAGAUGUUGUGAGCCUGUCUUGCUGCAAACCAGUGUGUUCCUCUGAACUUACUCUUUACAUUUCAUGUUUAUUCGAAGUGAGUCCAUACUAGCUUUUAGAGAUGACUGCUGUAAAACCACCAAAGUGGAUGAUAUUCUUUUCUAUAGUUUUGUUCAAGAUGGAAAAUUUCAAUAGUGUGCAGUUUGUAGAAUUACCUCAUUACCUCCACACUUUUCCCCCCAGCACUGGGGAUUGUCAUGCCUGAUCUAAGUGAGUCCUUCACAAACAAACAGGACAAAAACAAACAGGCUGCUCUCAGCAAAUGACAGGCUUCAGGCGCCAAAAGGUCCAGUGAUUGUCUACACACCUGUGCAGACUGCCCUUGGACUCAAUCAUAAACAUUUCACCCCAGAUUCCUUAGCCCCUUCAAUACCUAUGUAAGCCUAAUUCCUUUCCCCGUUAGCUGCUAAUAUCUCUCCUAGUAUUAGCCCAUCCACCCAUGGAUGAAAUCUCUGCUAGCUAGCUGCUGCUAUUUCUAUCUCCCAGCCCACCCUCACAUAGAUGUAAUGAGCUCAGCUUUUCCCAGCUAGCUGCAAAAAUCUGAUUUUAGUCUCUGUUCACUGGAAUAAACUUUUCU